RNAcentral lists this small RNA (445 nucleotides) under Oryza sativa Japonica Group (Japanese rice). RNAcentral's name for it is "misc RNA Os05g0125600". Lineage: Eukaryota; Viridiplantae; Streptophyta; Magnoliopsida; Poales; Poaceae. The record is from RNAcentral.
UCAACAACGUCGAGUCGGUGCUCUAAAGCUUGGGUGAUUAGCUCUUGAAAUCUCCUGCCUUCUGCUACUGCUUUUAGUUGGCUGCAAUGGACUAGUGGAACUUGGCUAGGUGGUGUUCCUGCUGACUUUAAGGGCCUGUUUGGGGGAGCUGGAGAGAGCUGGAGAUUCUGAGAAGCUAGCUGGAGAUUCUGAGAAGCUGAGGAGGGUCUGUUUGGGGGAGCUUCUUUAGGUUUGUUGGCUGGUGAGCUGAGAGGCUGAAUUGUCUGAAAUACCCCUGAGGUAGAUGGUGGUCCUGAUCUCUUGUUAAUUAUUUGGUUGAUAGAUUACACCCUUCCAUAUAUAAUUUGUGUGCAUAUAAUUUUGUAAAUAUUCAUUUUUCAUAAUGAUAGGAAUAAAAAAAUGUGUUCAUUUUUAAGGCAAUGAGAAAGGUUAAAUUAAUUAUCGC